GGACAACCUACCCUCGGGUAGGGGAUAACCCCGGGAAACUGGGGCUAAUCCCCUAUAGGUCAUGGUGACUGGAAUGUCCCAUGACUGAAAGCUCCGGCGCCCGAGGAUGGGUCUGCGGCGGAUUAGGUAGUUGGUGGGGUAACGGCCCACCAAGCCUAAGAUCCGUACGGGCUGUGAGAGCAGGAGCCCGGAGAUGGACACUGAGACAAGGGUCCAGGCCCUACGGGGCGCAGCAGGCGCGAAACCUCCGCAAUGCGGGAAACCGCGACGGGGCUAGCCAGAGUGCCCACGCAUAGCGUGGGCUGUCCGGGUGCCUAAAAAGCACCCGAUAGCAAGGGAUGGGCAAGGCCGGUGGCAGCCGCCGCGGUAAUACCGGCGUCCCGAGUGGCGGCCACUAUUAUUGGGCCUAAAGCGUCCGUAGCCGGGUUGGUAAGUCCCCCGGGAAAUCUGGUCGCUCAACGAUCAGACUGCCGGGGGAUACUGCCAGCCUAGGGACCGGGAGAGGCCGAGGGUAUUCCCGGGGUAGGGGUGAAAUCCUGUAAUCCCGGGAGGACCACCUGUGGCGAAGGCGCUCGGCUGGAACGGGUCCGACGGUGAGGGACGAAGGCCUGGGGAGCGAACCGGAUUAGAUACCCGGGUAGUCCAGGCUGUAAACGAUGCGGGCUAGGUGUCACUGGAGCUACGAGCUCUGGUGGUGCCGGAGGGAAGCCGUUAAGCCCGCCGCCUGGGAAGUACGGCCGCAAGGCUGAAACUUAA
This 756-nucleotide ribosomal RNA is filed under the name Archaeoglobus sulfaticallidus. Its description in RNAcentral is "bacterial SSU rRNA". It matches the Rfam family "Archaeal small subunit ribosomal RNA", at positions 102 to 859 of the family's 1478-position model. Lineage: Archaea; Methanobacteriati; Methanobacteriota; Archaeoglobi; Archaeoglobales; Archaeoglobaceae. The record is from RNAcentral.